GACGAACGCUGGCGGCGUGCUUAACACAUGCAAGUCGAACGGAAAGGCCCUGCUUUUGUGGGGUGCUCGAGUGGCGAACGGGUGAGUAACACGUGAGUAACCUGCCCUUGACUUUGGGAUAACUUCAGGAAACUGGGGCUAAUACCGGAUAGGAGCUCCUGCUGCAUGGUGGGGGUUGGAAAGUUUCGGCGGUUGGGGAUGGACUCGCGGCUUAUCAGCUUGUUGGUGGGGUAGUGGCGUACCAAGGCUUUGACGGGUAGCCCGCCUGAGAGGGUGACCGGCCACCAUGGGACUGAGAUACGGACCAGAAUCGUACGGGAGGCAGCAGUGGGGAAUAUUGCACAAUGGGCGGAAGCCUGAUGCAGCAACGCCGCGUGCGGGAUGACGGCCUUCGGGUUGUAAACCGCUUUCGCCUGUGACGAAGCGUGAGUGACGGUAAUGGGUAAAGAAGCACCGGCUAACUACGUG
RNAcentral lists this ribosomal RNA (468 nucleotides) under uncultured bacterium. RNAcentral's name for it is "partial 16S ribosomal RNA". It matches the Rfam family "Bacterial small subunit ribosomal RNA", at positions 28 to 507 of the family's 1533-position model. The record is from RNAcentral.